CCCUAUGGGGUGCACCAGGCGGAACUUUUGAGAAAACAACUCGAAAACGCCUCACAGCAAGCCUACAUCACCCGGGAAAUGCAACGGCGGGAUUUACCAUCUUAUUUAGCGCAACAGGGGCUGACGGGGGGUAUAACCGAAACGGCUGCAAACGAUUUGUUGAGGAGUUACCGCAACUCGGUCAACGCCGCAAGGAACACUUAUUCCGACAACACAAACUCGCUUGAAAACACCUAUGCUACGAAUUUAGCGGGUAUCAACACGACCUAUUCCCAACGGCUGAUGGACGCUAUGGCGCAACGCCGGGCGGAAGAACUGCAACGGGCAGUGGUGGCGGCGCAGGACGGCGGUUUAACGGGUGGCAUUGUAGCGACGGGCGGAAGCGGCGGAGGAAUGGGCGGGAGGGC
This 407-nucleotide ribosomal RNA is filed under the name uncultured prokaryote. RNAcentral describes it as "partial 16S ribosomal RNA". The record is from RNAcentral.